RNAcentral lists this ribosomal RNA (497 nucleotides) under uncultured bacterium. Its description in RNAcentral is "partial 16S ribosomal RNA". It matches the Rfam family "Bacterial small subunit ribosomal RNA", at positions 28 to 507 of the family's 1533-position model. The record is from RNAcentral.
GAUGAACGCUGGCGGCGUGCCUAAUACAUGCAAGUCGAGCGAACAGACGAGGAGCUUGCUCCUCUGACGUUAGCGGCGGACGGGUGAGUAACACGUGGAUAACCUACCUAUAAGACUGGGAUAACUUCGGGAAACCGGAGCUAAUACCGGAUAAUAUAUUGAACCGCAUGGUUCAAUAGUGAAAGACGGUUUUGCUGUCACUUAUAGAUGGAUCCGCGCCGCAUUAGCUAGUUGGUAAGGUAACGGCUUACCAAAGCGACGAUGCGUAGCCGACCUGAGAGGGUGAUCGGCCACACUGGAACUGAGACACGGUCCAGACUCCUACGGGAGGCAGCAGUAGGGAAUCUUCCGCAAUGGGCGAAAGCCUGACGGAGCAACGCCGCGUGAGUGAUGAAGGUCUUCGGAUCGUAAAACUCUGUUAUUAGGGAAGAACAAAUGUGUAAGUAACUAUGCACGUCUUGACGGUACCUAAUCAGAAAGCCACGGCUAACUACGUG